RNAcentral lists this ribosomal RNA (497 nucleotides) under uncultured bacterium. Its description in RNAcentral is "partial 16S ribosomal RNA". It matches the Rfam family "Bacterial small subunit ribosomal RNA", at positions 28 to 507 of the family's 1533-position model. The record is from RNAcentral.
GACGAACGCUGGCGGCGUGCCUAAUACAUGCAAGUAGAACGCUGAAGCGAGGAGCUUGCUCUUCUUGGAUGAGUUGCGAACGGGUGAGUAACGCGUAGGUAACCUGCCUUGUAGCGGGGGAUAACUAUUGGAAACGAUAGCUAAUACCGCAUAAUAGUAGAUGUGGCAUGACAUUUACUUAAAAGGUGCAAUUGCAUCACUACUAGAUGGACCUGCGUUGUAUUAGCUAGUUGGUGAGGUAACGGCUCACCAAGGCAACGAUACAUAGCCGACCUGAGAGGGGUGACGGCCACCAUGGGACCGGGACCCGGGCCAGGCUCCUAAGGGAGGGAGCAGUAGGGGAUCUUCGGGAAAGGAGGGAAGUCUGAACGGGGCAAGGCGCGGUGAGGGAGGAGGUUUUCCGAUCGUAAAGCUCUGUUGUAUGAGAAGAAAGAGUGUGAGAGUGGAAAGUUCACACUGUGACGGUACCUUACCAGAAAGGGACGGCUAACUACGUG